RNAcentral lists this unclassified non-coding RNA (314 nucleotides) under plant metagenome. Its description in RNAcentral is "partial contains 5.8S ribosomal RNA, internal transcribed spacer 2, and large subunit ribosomal RNA". The stretch from base 1 to 105 matches the Rfam family "5.8S ribosomal RNA", at positions 50 to 154 of the family's 154-position model. The record is from RNAcentral.
GAAAUGCGAUAAUUAAUUUGAAUUGCAGAAUUCCUUGCCUCCUCUCGUCUUUGAACGCACAUUGCUCCCCCUGGUAUUCCGGGGGGCAUGCCUGUCCGAGCGUCAUUGCUGCCCUCAAGCACGGCUUGUGUGUUGGGCUUCCGUCCCUGGCAACGGGGACGGGCCCAAAAGGCAGUGGCGGCACCAUGUCUGGUCCUCGAGCGUAUGGGGCUUUGUCACCCGCUCCCGUAGGUCCAGCUGGCAGCUAGCCUCGCAACCAAUCUUUUUAACCAGGUUGACCUCGGAUCAGGUAGGGAUACCCGCUGAACUUAAGC